AUUGAACGCUGGCGGCAGGCCUAACACAUGCAAGUCGAGCGGAUGAAGGGAGCUUGCUCCUGGAUUCAGCGGCGGACGGGUGAGUAAUGCCUAGGAAUCUGCCUGGUAGUGGGGGAUAACGUCCGGAAACGGGCGCUAAUACCGCAUACGUCCUGAGGGAGAAAGUGGGGGAUCUUCGGACCUCACGCUAUCAGAUGAGCCUAGGUCGGAUUAGCUAGUUGGUGGGGUAAAGGCCUACCAAGGCGACGAUCCGUAACUGGUCUGAGAGGAUGAUCCGUCACACUGGAACUGAGACACGGUCCAGACUCCUACGGGAGGCAGCAGUGGGGAAUAUUGGACAAAGGGCGAAAGCCUGAUCCAGCCAUGCCGCGUGUGUGUAGAAGGUCUUCGGAUUGUAAAGCACUUUAAGUUGGGAGGAAGGGCAGUAAGUUAAUACCUUGCUGUUUUGACGUUACCAACAGAAUAAGCACCGGCUAACUUCGUG
RNAcentral lists this ribosomal RNA (484 nucleotides) under uncultured bacterium. Its description in RNAcentral is "partial 16S ribosomal RNA". It matches the Rfam family "Bacterial small subunit ribosomal RNA", at positions 30 to 507 of the family's 1533-position model. The record is from RNAcentral.